This 406-nucleotide ribosomal RNA is filed under the name uncultured bacterium. RNAcentral's name for it is "partial 16S ribosomal RNA". It matches the Rfam family "Bacterial small subunit ribosomal RNA", at positions 30 to 526 of the family's 1533-position model. The record is from RNAcentral.
AUUGAACGCUGGCGGCAGGCCUAACACAUGCAAGUCGAACGAGUGGCGGACGUGUGAGUAAUGUCUGGGAAACUGCCCGAUGGAGGGGGAUAACUACUGGAAACGGUAGCUAAUACCGCAUACCAUCGGAUGUGCCCAGAUGGGAUUAGCUAGUAUGUGGGGUAACGGCUCACCUGGGCGACGAUCCCUAGCUGGUCUGAGAGGAUGACAAAGCAAACUGGAACUGAGACACGGUCCAGAAUCCGACGAGGGGCAGCAGUGGGGAAUAUUGCACAAUGGGCGCAAGCCUAAUGCAGCCAAGCCGGGUGUAUGAAGAAGGCGUUAGGAUUGUAAAGUACUGUCAGCGAGGAGGCGUUACUCGCAGAAGAAGCACCGGCUAACUCCGUGCCAGCAGCCGCGGUAAUUC